RNAcentral lists this small RNA (76 nucleotides) under Xanthomonas campestris pv. badrii. Its description in RNAcentral is "sX9 sRNA". It matches the Rfam family "Xanthomonas sRNA sX9". The record is from RNAcentral. Lineage: Bacteria; Pseudomonadati; Pseudomonadota; Gammaproteobacteria; Lysobacterales; Lysobacteraceae. RNAcentral also lists the same sequence under 1 other name.
AUGUGCCACGCGUCCAACGGGUGCUGAGCGCGCCAUCCACGCCCAGCUGACGACUGCGCGCUUCGGUCUGUUGGUC